UGAGAAGUGGGAUAUUGCUCCUAAUGGAUUCCAAACACCACAAAAGUUUAUUAGGAAGCAGGGCAUCGUAAAGUGCGUCGGAGGUGGGAGUGAGGGCUUUUCUGGUGUGGCAGAUGCAAAUCUAAUGACAACAUCUGGAUGACUAUACAUGACCUUGGUCAGGCUCGACUAGUUGCUUUCAGACUGUAUAUUGGCUGCUGUUUGAUUCUAAAGAACACAAUGAAUCAGUGGAUUUUCCCAUACCAGUAUUGCUAAAGGCAUAUGUGCCACAGUAUAUCUAAAUCAUGGAGCUUCAUUGUUCUGGUUAUCCACACAGUUUCUCAACUGCUUGACCAAUUCAGGAUUGCAGGGAGGUUGGAAAGUAUGUUGGCUUCCACUGGCAAAGAUUCAGGGUACAUCCUGGGCAGGUUGCCAGUCCAUCACAGGUCCAACAUAAAGAGACAAACAACUGUACAUGCUUGAAUUCACAACUAUGGACUGUGAGGUAAAGGCUGAGUACACAAACAACAUGCAAACGCUACAUAGAAAGGGCGCAGUCAUGAAAGCCAAUGCAGGGCCUUCUUUGUGUGAUCAUCAUGCGGGGACUAUUAAAGAAACUCUUCCAUACUCUUCCAGACAGUUCGUGAAAUGUAUUAAGAAUCUGUAUACUUAUGGGCAACAAGUACCACAAAGAUCAAGAUAUGCAAUAAGAACCUGAUACAUCUUAUUCCCAUUUGCCAUAAAUAUUCUUUAGUACACAAAAACCAUCAAAAGCACAUCUCUGAGCAACACAGUGGAUUUCUUCCUGCACUGCAAUAAACAUGGC
Molecule: long non-coding RNA, 805 nt
Organism: Oreochromis aureus
Lineage: Eukaryota; Metazoa; Chordata; Actinopteri; Cichliformes; Cichlidae
Source: Ensembl